AGUGGAUGGGGAGCAACCUAGUUGUGCGUGUGUAAAGGUAGUGCCAAGAAAAGCGGUGAUCAUGAUGAAAAUCAAUUCCCGGUACCCGAAACCGACACAGGUGGGCAAGUAGAGAAUACUAAGGGGCGCGAGGUAACUCUCUCCAAGGAACUCGGCAAAAUGACCCCGUAACUUAGGGAGAAGGGGUGCCACCGAGAGGUGGUCGCAGUGAAGAGGCCCAGGCGACUGUUUAGCAAAAACAUAGGUCUCUGCAAACUCGAAAGAGGAGGUAUAGGGGCUGACGCCUGCCCAGUGCCGGAAGGUUAAAGAAGUUGGUCAGUCUUAGGAUGAAGCUAGCGACUGAAGCCCCGGUGAACGGCGGCCGUAACUAUAACGGUCCUAAGGUAGCGAAAUUCCUUGUCGGGUAAGUUCCGACCCGCACGAAAGGCGUAACGAUCUGGGCGCUGUCUCGGAGAGAGGCUCGGCGAAAUAGGAUUGUCUGUGAAGAUACGGACUACCUGCAUUUGGACAGAAAGACCCUAUGAAGCUUUACUAUAGCUUGGAAUUGUGUUCGGGCUUCCUGUGCGCAGGAUAGGUGGGAGGCGUAGAAGGUAUUCUUGUGGGGAUACUGGAGCCAACGGUGAGAUACCACUCUCAGGAGGCUAGAAUUCUAACUUAAUUAAGGACAGUUUCAGGUGGGUAGUUUGACUGGGGCGGUCGCCUCCAAAAAGGUAACGGAGGCGUACAAAGGUUCCCUCAGACUGGUUGGAAAUCAGUCGAAGAGUGCAAAGGCAGAAGGGAGCUCACUGCGAGAAGUACAGUUCGAGCAGGGUGGAAACACGGUCUUAGUGAUCCGACGGUGCUGUGUGGAAGGGCCGUCGCUCAACGGAUAAAAGUUACUCUAGGAUAACAGGCUGAUCUCCCCCAAGAGUUCACAUCGACGGGGAGGUUUGGCACCUCGAUGUCGGCUCAUCGCAACCUGGGGCGGAAGUACGUCCCAAGGGUUGGGCUGUUCGCCCAUUAAAGCGGUACGUGAGCUGGGUUCAGAACGUCGUGAGACAGUUCGGUCCAUAUCCGAUGUAGGCGUGAGAAUAUUGAGAGGAGCCUUCCUUAGUACGAGAGGACCGGGAAGGACGCACCGCUGGUGUACCUGUUAUGAUGCCAAUUGUAAACGCAGGGUAGCCAAGUGCGGAGAGGAUAACCGCUGAAAGCAUCUAAGUGGGAAGCCCACCUCAAGAUGAGUAUUCUGGUGUAAGGUCACGGGAAGACGACCCGUAAAUAGGCACGAGGUGGAAGUGCAGAGAUGUAUGAAGCCGAAGUGUACUAAUAGACCGUCGGCUUGACC
Molecule: ribosomal RNA, 1324 nt
Filed under: metagenome
Description: bacterial LSU rRNA
Rfam family: Bacterial large subunit ribosomal RNA
Source: RNAcentral